This 77-nucleotide transfer RNA is filed under the name Bacillota bacterium. RNAcentral describes it as "tRNA-Pro". It matches the Rfam family "tRNA". Rfam says of the family: Transfer RNA (tRNA) molecules are approximately 80 nucleotides in length. Their secondary structure includes four short double-helical elements and three loops (D, anti-codon, and T loops). Lineage: Bacteria; Bacillati; Bacillota. RNAcentral also lists the same sequence under 4 other names. The record is from RNAcentral.
CGAGGUGUAGCGCAGUUGGCUAGCGCGCCUGCUUUGGGAGCAGGAUGUCGGGGGUUCAAGUCCCUUCACCUCGACCA